UUUAAACCUAGGGCUGUGUAUUGAAACUAGAUUAUAACCCGCGGUAUACCGCGGAGACAAUUUUUUUAAAAAAUUAGUAUAUAUAAAGUCUGCAAAUUAUAUUUAUCUAUAAAAUAUUUACAUUUUAUAGUUUACAAUUGUUAUUAAGUAACAUCCUUCCAAACCCGUUCCGCCAAACCCGUCCCGUUAAAAAACUCCGCGGUACACCGCUAAUUUAAAUAAAUAUUUUAUGGGAUUGCAAUUAUAUUUUAGUUUGUCAAAUAAA
RNAcentral lists this small RNA (265 nucleotides) under Arabidopsis thaliana (thale cress). Its description in RNAcentral is "ATSL055510". The record is from RNAcentral. Lineage: Eukaryota; Viridiplantae; Streptophyta; Magnoliopsida; Brassicales; Brassicaceae.